Non-coding RNA from Vicugna pacos (alpaca), 1187 nucleotides. NCBI's taxonomy places the organism in Eukaryota, Metazoa, Chordata, Mammalia, Artiodactyla, Camelidae. The record is from RefSeq and is a predicted model, not a curated record.
CAGCCCUCAGGUUCUGAGCACCCAAGGCAGCAACACCCAGGACAAUGGGGUCCCCUUCUGCCGGUUCAGGGGCACCGCUCCUGGGCAGCUGGCCCCGCGCAGGGUAAGGUCAGUGUAUUUGGCAACAUCACCACUGGGAGCCCCAGGAGUCCUGACAUCCUUGAGCUGCUCACCCUGAGGACUGUGAUGACUAAGAACUAAACGUGUCUGGUGCCCGCCCCCUGGCUCCAACUCUCUUGUGCGGCUGCGAGGGGAGAGGACUGAUCCUCAGCCCCGUGUCCUCUCCAUUGCGGCCUGUCCCACCACGGGAUGGCCACCCGAACAAAGACGGCCACUGCUCUCAGCGAGUGCACACACGUGACAGAGAGAGGGAAGGCUGGAGGUGAGAGGAACAUAGAGCCAAUCAUCGUCAUUUUUCUAAAUGACACCUGUUCGGUCACCUCGUAUCUGCUGGGCUGGAAUAUCCCGACGACGCAGGAUGCUCGAGCCCACACAGGAGACUGCGCUGCCUGCAGUCACAUCACUUCUAUGGAGAAAACUCUUGUUUUCCAUGCAGCGUGACUUCCCAUGCCGCCACGGCGCCUCUUUGUCCUGGAGACUGAAAUGGCCUUGGAAGAGGGCAGGGAGGCGGCGGCAACCAGGAGGACGAGGAGGAUGGCCCCGCAGCACAUCGGGCCCUGCUUGCUCACAGCCCCGCCCACGCCCUCCCGCCCCCGAGUCCGCACCAGGCACCGCUCCCUGAGCAAUUCCUGAGGCUUCUCGGAGACACCCCCCUCGAGAUCCCCCAGGGACAUGUUGGAAAACGUGCUCAGACCUGAGCAGAGGAAGAGGUCCCAUCCAGUACCAAGGUGGCGUCAGAAACCAGGGAGAAGUGGGGCGUAUUCUGGACCCACUCACUUGCUGAGGGAAAAAGAAAUGCUGGCUUUCAUGGGCAGAGCGGGCCGGAUCCGAGAUCCAGCUGGGAUGGGCCAGGAGGGGGGCCUCCUGCCGGGAAGCCGCUAGGACCUGGGUGCUGGCCUAACUGUCGCAAUGUCCCCGGGGCCCCAGCAGAGGGGCCGAGCCCAGGAAGAACCUGCAAACGCAUCGUCAGAUCGCGCCAUCGAACUGCUCGCAGCGCCGGGCAACCAGAGGAGGGGCCCUUAUGUCUUCCUCAUCUUCUCAUCUCUAGUCUUGCACUGGCCAGUGGG